RNAcentral lists this ribosomal RNA (515 nucleotides) under uncultured bacterium. RNAcentral's name for it is "partial 16S ribosomal RNA". It matches the Rfam family "Bacterial small subunit ribosomal RNA", at positions 28 to 523 of the family's 1533-position model. The record is from RNAcentral.
GAUGAACGCUGGCGGCGUGCCUAAUACAUGCAAGUCGAGCGAAUGGAUUAAGAGCUUGCUCUUAUGAAGUUAGCGGCGGACGGGUGAGUAACACGUGGGUAACCUGCCCAUAAGACUAGGAUAACUCCGGGAAACCGGGGCUAAUACCGGAUAACAUUUUGAACCGCAUGGUUCGAAAUUGAAAGGCGGCUUCAGCUGUCACUUAUGGAUGGACCCGCGUCGCAUUAGCGAGUUGGGGAGGUAACGGCUCACGAAGGCAACGAUGCGGAGCCGACCGGAGAGGGUGAUCGGCCACACUGGGACUGAGACACGGCCCAGACUCCUGCGGGAGGCAGCAGUAGGGAAUCUUCCGAAAUGGACGAAAGUCUGACGGAGCAACGCCGCGUGAGUGAUGAGGGCUUUCGGGUCGUAAAACUCUGUUGUUAGGGAAGAACAAGUGCUAGUUGAAUAAGCUGGCACCUUGACGGUACCUAACCAGAAAGCCACGGCUAACUACGUGCCAGCAGCCGCCGUAA